ACGAGGUGGAAAUGUAGGUCAAU
This 23-nucleotide non-coding RNA is filed under the name Cricetulus griseus (Chinese hamster). Lineage: Eukaryota; Metazoa; Chordata; Mammalia; Rodentia; Cricetidae. The record is from RNAcentral.